AGCUCGGUGGCCAGGGGUGGAAAGAAGCCGCAAGCCGCAGCCGCAGCCCCAAGUCAGCCCCCGCUGCCCCGUCCCACCGUCUCAUCUCUCCCCCCUCGGCAGUUUUACUGGGACCCAGCAACUCUAAAAUGCAGCUUUCUAUGCAAGAAAGACCUAUGUGAUAAUUAAGAGACUCCUUCCUUAAGAGUAAGUAGAAAAGACUUUGGGGGCUCCAACUCCCCUUGCCUGACCUUCAACACAGCUGAGGCUUAGUCUCCAAGCCCAGCAAACACAGGGAAAAGGAAAGCCCUGUUCUUGAGAGCUGUAUUCUUCAAAGGUCCUCUACACACUAUGAUUGUCUUUAGCGUGUAGGAAUUAUGUGUGCC
RNAcentral lists this long non-coding RNA (365 nucleotides) under Rattus norvegicus (Norway rat). RNAcentral describes it as "long non-coding RNA NONRATT033858". Lineage: Eukaryota; Metazoa; Chordata; Mammalia; Rodentia; Muridae. The record is from RNAcentral.